GCGGAGGGCUGGAUGGCCGCGGUCCUGGCAACAGGGUCGAGGAAAGUCCGGACUCCAAGAAAAAACGGUGCCGGGUAACGCCCGGGCGGGGCAACCCGACGGAUAGCGCCACAGAAAACAAACCGCCAACCCCGGCGGGUCGGGCAACCGAUACCACCGGGGCGGUAAGGGUGAAACGGUGCGGUAAGAGCGCACCGCGGGGAUGGUAACAUCGCUGGCACGGCAAGCCCCACCGGGAGCAAUGCCAAAUAGGGACCGCGUGCUGCGUCUGGCAACAGACACAGCGGGGCUUUUUCUGCCCCAGCAGGUCCGGGUUGGCAGCUAUAGCCCUGCAGGUAACUGCAGGGUCAGAGGAAUGGUCAUCCCCUGUCUUCGGGCAGGGACAAAAUCCGGCUUAUAGGCCCUCCGCGCAU
Molecule: RNase P RNA, 413 nt
Filed under: Sulfitobacter sp.
Lineage: Bacteria; Pseudomonadati; Pseudomonadota; Alphaproteobacteria; Rhodobacterales; Roseobacteraceae
Description: RNase P RNA component class A
Rfam family: Bacterial RNase P class A
About the family: Ribonuclease P (RNase P) is a ubiquitous endoribonuclease, found in archaea, bacteria and eukarya as well as chloroplasts and mitochondria. Its best characterised activity is the generation of mature 5'-ends of tRNAs by cleaving the 5'-leader elements of precursor-tRNAs. Cellular RNase Ps are ribonucleoproteins.
Source: RNAcentral